GAUGAACGCUGGCGGCGUGCUUAAUACAUGCAAGUCGAGCGAACGGACGAGAAGCUUGCUUCUCUGAUGUUAGCGGCGGACGGGUGAGUAACACGUGGAUAACCUACCUAUAAGACUGGGAUAACUUCGGGAAACCGGAGCUAACACCGGAUAAUAUUUUGAACCGCAUGGUUCAAAAGUGAAAGACGGUCUUGCUGUCACUUAUAGAUGGAUCCGCGCUGCAUUAGCUAGUUGGUAAGUUAACGGCUUACCAAGGCAACGAUGCAUAGCCGACCUGUGAGGGGGAUCGGCCACACUAGAGCUGAGACGCGGUCCAGACUCCUACGGGAGGCAGCAGAAGGGAAUCUUCCGCAAUGGGCGGAAGCCUGGCAGAGCAGCGCGGCGUGAGUGAUAGAGGUCUUCGGAUCGUAAAACUCUGUUAUUAGUGGAAAACAUAUGUGGAAGUAGCUGUGCACAUCGUGACGGUACCGAAUCAGAAAGCCACGGCUAACUACGUG
This 497-nucleotide ribosomal RNA is filed under the name uncultured bacterium. RNAcentral's name for it is "partial 16S ribosomal RNA". It matches the Rfam family "Bacterial small subunit ribosomal RNA", at positions 28 to 507 of the family's 1533-position model. The record is from RNAcentral.